GCUUCUAUGGUCUAGCGGUUAAGACAUUAGGUUUUCAACUUAAAUACGGGGGUUUGAAUCCCCUUAGAAGUG
Molecule: transfer RNA, 72 nt
Filed under: Agelas schmidtii (Pipes of Pan sponge)
Lineage: Eukaryota; Metazoa; Porifera; Demospongiae; Agelasida; Agelasidae
Description: tRNA-Glu
Rfam family: tRNA
About the family: Transfer RNA (tRNA) molecules are approximately 80 nucleotides in length. Their secondary structure includes four short double-helical elements and three loops (D, anti-codon, and T loops).
Source: RNAcentral